This 450-nucleotide ribosomal RNA is filed under the name uncultured bacterium. RNAcentral describes it as "partial 16S ribosomal RNA". It matches the Rfam family "Bacterial small subunit ribosomal RNA", at positions 354 to 796 of the family's 1533-position model. The record is from RNAcentral.
GUGGGGAAUAUUCCGCAAUGGACGAAAGUCUGACGGAGCAACGCCGCGUGAGUGAUGAAGGUUUUCGGACUGUAAAGCUCUGUUGUUUAGGACGAAAGUGCCUGUUGCAAAUGGUUACAGGUAUUGACGGUACUGAACGAGGAAGCCACGGCUAACUACGUGCCAGCAGCCGCGGUAAUACGUAGGUGGCAAGCGUUGUCCGGAAUUAUUGGGCGUAAAGAGCAUGUAGGCGGGAAUCUAAGUCUGUUGUGAAAAUGCGGGGCUCAACCCCGUAUUGCGAUGGAAACUGGGUUUCUUGAGUGCAGGAGAGGAAAGGGGAAUUCCCAGUGUAGCGGUGAAAUGCGUAGAUAUUGGGAGGAACACCAGUGGCGAAGGCGCCUUUCUGGACUGUGUCUGACGCUGAGAUGCGAAAGCCAGGGUAGCGAACGGGAUUAGAAACCCGAGUAGUCC